This 465-nucleotide ribosomal RNA is filed under the name uncultured bacterium. RNAcentral's name for it is "partial 16S ribosomal RNA". It matches the Rfam family "Bacterial small subunit ribosomal RNA", at positions 28 to 507 of the family's 1533-position model. The record is from RNAcentral.
GACGAACGCUGGCGGCGUGCUUAACACAUGCAAGUCGAACGGAAAGGCCCUGCUUGCAGGGUACUCGAGUGGCGAACGGGUGAGUAACACGUGGGUGAUCUGCCCUGCACUUCGGGAUAAGCCUGGGAAACUGGGUCUAAUACCGGAUAGGAGCCAUUUUUAGUGUGAUGGUUGGAAAGUUUUUUCGGUGUAGGAUGAGCUCGCGGCCUAUCAGCUUGUUGGUGGGGUAAUGGCCUACCAAGGCGGCGACGGGUAGCCGGCCUGAGAGGGUGGACGGCCACAUUGGGACUGAGAUACGGCCCAGACUCCUACGGGAGGCAGUAGUGGGGAAUAUUGCACAAUGGGCGCAAGCCUGAUGCAGCGACGCCGCGUGGGGGAUGACGGCCUUCGGGUUGUAAGCUCCUUUCGCUAGGGACGAAGCAUUUUGUGACGGUACCUAGAUAAGAAGCACCGGCUAACUACGUG